Molecule: ribosomal RNA, 406 nt
Filed under: uncultured bacterium
Lineage: Bacteria
Description: partial 16S ribosomal RNA
Rfam family: Bacterial small subunit ribosomal RNA
Source: RNAcentral
AUUGAACGCUGGCGGCAGGCCUAACACAUGCAAGUCGAACGAGUGGCGGACGGGUGAGUAAUGUCUGGGAAACUGCCUGAUGGUGGGGGAUAACUUCUGGAAACGGUAGCUAAUACCGCAUACCAUCGGAUGUGCCCAGAUGGGAUUAGCUAGUAGGUGGGGUAAAGGCUCACCUAGGCGACGAUCCCUAGCUGGUCUGAGAGGAUGACCAGCAAAACGGGAACAGAAACACGGUACAGAGUAAUACGGGAGGCAGCAGUGGGGAAAAUUGGACAAUGGGGGAAAGCCGAAAGCAGACAUGCGGCGUGUAUGAAGAAGGCGAACGGGUUGAAAAGUACUUUCAGCGGGGAGGCGUUACCCGCAGAGGAAGCACCGGCUAAGUCCGUGCCAGCAGCCGCGGUAAUAC